GCCUACGGGGGGCAGCAGUAGGGAAUUUUCGUCAAUGGGCGCAAGCCUGAACGAGCAAUGCCGCGUGAACGAGGAGGGUCUUCGGAUCGUAAAGUUCUGUUGAAGGGGAAAAAGAGCGGAGAGAGGAAAUGGUCUCCGAUUGAUAUUACCCUUCGAGGAAGUCACGGCUAACUACGUGCCAGCAGCCGCGGUAAUACGUAGGUGGCGAGCGUUAUCCGGAAUGAUUGGGCGUAAAGCGAGUGCAGGCGGUUCAAUAAGUCUGAU
This 264-nucleotide ribosomal RNA is filed under the name uncultured bacterium. RNAcentral's name for it is "partial 16S ribosomal RNA". It matches the Rfam family "Bacterial small subunit ribosomal RNA", at positions 337 to 593 of the family's 1533-position model. The record is from RNAcentral.